CCUACGGGAGGCAGCAGUGAGGAAUAUUGGUCAAUGGUCGGGAGACUGAACCAGCCAAGCCGCGUGAGGGAUGAAGGUACAGAGUAUCGUAAACCUCUUUUGUCAGGGAACAAAGGCGGGGACGUGUCCCCGGAUGAGUGUACCUGAACAAAAAGCAUCGGCUAACUCCGUGCCAGCAGCCGCGGUAAUACGGAGGAUGCGAGCGUUAUCCGGAUUUAUUGGGUUUAAAGGGUGCUCAGGCGGUCUGUAAAGUCAGCGGUAAAAGCCCGGGGCUCAACCCCGUCCCGCCGUUGAAACUGGCAGUCUCGAGUUGGAGAGAAGUAUGCGGAAGGCGCGGUGUAGCGGUGAAAUGCAUAGAUAUCGCGCAGAACUCCGAUUGCGAAGGCAGCAUGCCGGCUCCACACUGACGCUGAGGCACGAAAGCGUGGGUAUCGAACAGGAUUAGAUACCCUGGUAGUC
This 459-nucleotide ribosomal RNA is filed under the name uncultured bacterium. RNAcentral's name for it is "partial 16S ribosomal RNA". It matches the Rfam family "Bacterial small subunit ribosomal RNA", at positions 338 to 795 of the family's 1533-position model. The record is from RNAcentral.